RNAcentral lists this ribosomal RNA (251 nucleotides) under uncultured bacterium. RNAcentral's name for it is "partial 16S ribosomal RNA". It matches the Rfam family "Bacterial small subunit ribosomal RNA", at positions 525 to 775 of the family's 1533-position model. The record is from RNAcentral.
ACGUAGGGAGCGAGCGUUGUCCGGAAUUACUGGGCGUAAAGGGUGCGUAGGCGGUUUGGUAAGUCAGAUGUGAAAUACCCGGGCUUAACCCGGGGGCUGCAUCUGAUACUGUCAGACUUGAGUGCAGGAGAGGAAAGCGGAAUUCCUAGUGUAGCGGUGAAAUGCGUAGAUAUUAGGAGGAACACCAGUGGCGAAGGCGGCUUUCUGGACUGUAACUGACGCUGAGGCACGAAAGCGUGGGGAGCAAACAG